UCUUUGGAUUGAUGGACUUGCCUUCAUUGGCUUGUCUUCAAUUUCUUGAGACUAUGUCUUACAAACUCUAUAUAAACCAGAAUGUCUUUUGUAGUGUCUUUAUAUGACCUAUAAACUUAUACAACUUUUAACAACGGAUCUCUUGGCUCUCGCAUCGAUGAAGAACGCAGCGAAAUGCGAUAAGUAAUGUGAAUUGCAGAUUUCAGUGAAUCAUCGAAUCUUUGAACGCACCUUGCACCCUUUGGUAUUCCGAAGGGUAUGCCUGUUUGAGUGUCAUUAAAUUCUCAAACCUUCAACUUUAUUGUUGAAGGCUUUGGAUGUGGGAGUCUUUGCUGGACGCUCUUGAGUGGUCAGCUCUCCUUAAAUGCAUUAGUGGUUACUGAUUCCACUACUUGGUGUUGAUAGUCUAUCUUACGCCCUGUAGUGAAGUCAACUUAUGUAUCUGCUUCUAACUGUCGCUCUUUUGUGACAAUUUAUUGACUAUUGACCUCAAAUC
RNAcentral lists this ribosomal RNA (496 nucleotides) under Atheliaceae sp. YM2736. RNAcentral's name for it is "eukaryotic LSU rRNA". The stretch from base 123 to 276 matches the Rfam family "5.8S ribosomal RNA". Lineage: Eukaryota; Fungi; Basidiomycota; Agaricomycetes; Atheliales; Atheliaceae. The record is from RNAcentral.